RNAcentral lists this ribosomal RNA (232 nucleotides) under uncultured bacterium. RNAcentral describes it as "partial 16S ribosomal RNA". It matches the Rfam family "Bacterial small subunit ribosomal RNA", at positions 103 to 334 of the family's 1533-position model. The record is from RNAcentral.
CGGGUGAGUAACACGUGGUCAACCUUCCCUUUAGUGGGGAUAACUAGCCGAAAGGUUAGCUAAUACCGCAUACGAUUUAUGAGUGGCAUCAUUUAUAAAUGAAAGUAGCAAUACGCUAAAGGAUGGGACCGCGUCCCAUUAGCUAGAUGGUGGGGUAAUGGCCUACCAUGGCUCCGAUGGGUAGCUGGUUUGAGAGAGCGAUCAGCCACACUGGGACUGAGAAACGGCCCAG